UUGCAACUAAUUAAGCCAACCAAGUCCCUUUCCCCAUGGGGAUCUAAUGUUCAAUGGUUGCAAACAGCAGCCUCCUUGGUAGUGUAUGCAGCCUGUUUGUUGCCUGUAUGGGUUUCCCCAGGGGGAUGAUGGAGACAGUU
Molecule: small nucleolar RNA, 140 nt
Organism: Acomys russatus (golden spiny mouse)
Lineage: Eukaryota; Metazoa; Chordata; Mammalia; Rodentia; Muridae
Product: small nucleolar RNA SNORA70
Exons: 1
Source: RefSeq, a predicted model, not a curated record